RNAcentral lists this small RNA (1548 nucleotides) under Pongo abelii (Sumatran orangutan). Its description in RNAcentral is "retained intron". The record is from RNAcentral. Lineage: Eukaryota; Metazoa; Chordata; Mammalia; Primates; Hominidae.
GUGCGCCGGGCGGGCGGGCACUGCAGCUUCUUCCUCCGUGGAGCGGAGAGCGAGAGAGAGCUAGAGCGAACGAGAGAGCGGCGAAGGCGGGUAGAGGGGCGCGGGCGAGGCGGCGCAGCCAUCCCCGGACCAGGGGCCGCGCCGCCACCAUGCUAAACAACCUGACAGACUGCGAGGACGGCGAUGGGGGAGCCAACCCGGGUGAUGGCAACCCCAAGGAAAGCAGUCCCUUCAUCAACAGCACUGACACAGAGAAGGGAAAGGAGUAUGAUGGCAAGAACAUGGCCUUGUUUGAGGAGGAGAUGGACACCAGCCCUAUGGUGUCCUCCUUGCUCAGUGGCCUGGCCAACUAUACCAACCUGCCCCAGGGAAGUAGGGAGCAUGAAGAGGCAGAAAACAAUGAGGGUGGAAAAAAGAAGCCGGUGCAGGCCCCACGCAUGGGCACCUUCAUGGGCGUGUACCUGCCAUGCCUGCAGAACAUCUUUGGCGUCAUCCUCUUCCUGCGGCUCACCUGGGUGGUGGGCAUUGCAGGCAUCAUGGAGUCCUUCUGUAUGGUGUUCAUCUGCUGCUCCUGUACGAUGCUCACGGCCAUCUCCAUGAGUGCAAUUGCAACGAAUGGUGUUGUGCCUGCUGGUGGCUCCUACUACAUGAUUUCCAGGUCUCUGGGCCCAGAGUUUGGGGGUGCCGUGGGCCUCUGCUUCUACCUGGGCACUACCUUUGCUGGAGCCAUGUACAUCCUGGGCACCAUUGAAAUCCUGCUGGCUUACCUCUUCCCAGCCAUGGCCAUAUUCAAGGCAGAAGAUGCCAGUGGGGAGGCAGCAGCCAUGCUGAACAACAUGCGUGUUUACGGCACCUGUGUGCUCACCUGCAUGGCCACUGUGGUGUUUGUGGGUGUCAAGUAUGUCAACAAGUUUGCCCUUGUCUUCCUGGGUUGUGUCAUCCUCUCCAUCCUGGCCAUCUAUGCUGGGGUCAUCAAGUCUGCCUUCGACCCACCCAACUUCCCGUGAGUGCUGCUACUCUGAGCCCAAGGAAUCGUCCUCCAACCUCCCUGGCCCUGUUUCAGAGUCUCUGCCAAACUCCCCCUCCCUGGCCCUCAGAAUCUUAGAGUGGUGUGGGUUGGGAGCAGCUUCCCUUGGGAGGGAAAAUCUCCCUUGGUUUGGGGGCAAUCUCUUCAGAGUGAGGUAACUUUUCUGGAGGAGGGAACAAUUUACCUUGUAAGAGUCAACUUCUUGCUGGUAGGGGGGACUUAGGAAGAAUUCAGUGGGAAUGGGUUCCAAACAAUGAAUACUGUCUGUGGUAGGGAAACCUUUCCUGGGUGGUGACAACCUCCUGGAAUGGGACAGUCUCCUAGUGUUGGACAACUCCUCCAGGAUGGGAAAAGACACAGAAAUCUAGAGGGUCCAGGGGCUCAGGUCCAAGUCCACUCCAUCCACUGCUCAGAGGUGGAGGGCGUCCCCCGAGACCGCUGUCCACGGUGCUGAAACACAGCAUUGCACUAACGCGAUGCUUCACCACCUUGGCUGCUUAUUAGAAUCACUUGGGGAGCUU